This 198-nucleotide ribosomal RNA is filed under the name uncultured bacterium. RNAcentral's name for it is "partial 16S ribosomal RNA". It matches the Rfam family "Bacterial small subunit ribosomal RNA", at positions 328 to 539 of the family's 1533-position model. The record is from RNAcentral.
ACGCUCGACACCUACGGGAGGCAGCAGUGGGGAAUAUUGCACAAUGGGGGAAACCCUGAUGCAGCACGCCGCGUGAGCGAAGAAGUAUUUCGGUAUGUAAAGCUCUAUCAGCAGGGAAGAAACUGACGGUACCUGACUAAGAAGCCACCGGCUAAAUACGUGCCCGCAGCCGCGAUAAUCUGAGCGGGCUGGCAAGGC